AGGAUUCGUCCAAGUGAAGCAGAGGACAGUGGCGGACGGGUGAGUAACGCGUGAGGAACCUGCCUUUCAGAGGGGGACAACAGUUGGAAACGACUGCUAAUACCGCAUAAGCCCACGGUACCACAUGGUACAGUGAGAAAAGGAGAAAUCCGCUGAAAGAUGGACUCGCGUCUGAUUAGAUAGUUGGUGGGGUAACGGCCUACCAAGUCGACGAUCAGUAGCCGGACUGAGAGGUUGAACGGCCACAUUGGAACUGAGACACGGCCCAGACUCC
RNAcentral lists this ribosomal RNA (274 nucleotides) under uncultured Oscillospiraceae bacterium. Its description in RNAcentral is "partial 16S ribosomal RNA". It matches the Rfam family "Bacterial small subunit ribosomal RNA", at positions 71 to 339 of the family's 1533-position model. Lineage: Bacteria; Bacillati; Bacillota; Clostridia; Eubacteriales; Oscillospiraceae. The record is from RNAcentral.